CAAAAUUUGAUUUUGUUUGCUAGGUUGGCGGUGCUAUGGAUCAUGGUUGCUAAGUAUCCCUUUGUGUUACCGCAUUUAAACCUCAGUAAGAUUGAAUUUGCAUCACAAACGCAAACAGCAAUAAAACCAAAUAAAUAAAUAAUAAUUCUUGAAAUCAAAGCAAUCGAUCAAAUAUUACAAACGAUCAAAUCACAGUAAACUAACAAAAUUUAGCUAAAGUCGUUUGAAUUUGAAAAUAAUGGACUCAGUUGGACAAAAUCCUACCUUGCCUUCUGUGACGUGUUUAUGCACCACGGCUGUCCUCAUCGUGAUAUUUGUCAUGGUUGCGAACCUGCUUCUGAACAUAUGGCUUCUGUACAAAGUGAUGGAAGUGGCCGACAAAUCCCAAGAAGUUUAGCUUUCUCUAUUCAAGAAUUCCGAUACUAUUGUUUCGUUAAUAUUAAAGAAUUAUAUUUAGUCCGUUUCUAGAAA
Aedes aegypti (yellow fever mosquito) is the source of this 471-nucleotide long non-coding RNA. RefSeq lists it as uncharacterized. The transcript has 2 exons. The record is from RefSeq and is a predicted model, not a curated record. NCBI's taxonomy places the organism in Eukaryota, Metazoa, Arthropoda, Insecta, Diptera, Culicidae.